RNAcentral lists this long non-coding RNA (469 nucleotides) under Sinocyclocheilus anshuiensis. Its description in RNAcentral is "lncRNA (ENSSANG00000002470.1)". Lineage: Eukaryota; Metazoa; Chordata; Actinopteri; Cypriniformes; Cyprinidae. The record is from RNAcentral.
UUCUGGGGGUCCUAGAUUAAUGAAGUCAUCGUAUUUGUGUUCCUUGUGUAGCUGAUGAGAGUGCAGCAGCAGCAGAGCACUGAUCUGGAGCAGCAGAAGCUGCAGGCAGUAGAGAGCGCUCUGGGCCUCAGGCUGGACCGGAUGGAGCAGAUCGCUGCCGCAGAAAUGGACCUGCAGAGGGAGCGCAAACAGUGCACUGCACUACAAGAGCAGGUGGAGAAACUAGAGCAGGAGGUGUGUGAGCGGGACUCCAGACCAGCGCUGAGGGACGUCAGGAGGCCCAGAGGAACCACAGCCGCACAAACAGGCAAAAACUGCAGGGAGUGGAAAAGGUGAUUGGCACACUGAUCCAUAAGUAGUACACUGCCAGUUUAACGGACCAUGGAGCAGCUGCAUAGGCACUAUAUCAUUAAGGGCAUUUAAAUGUUGUUCCAAACCUAACUUUGUUUUUUGUAGCAUGUUUUUUGGG